UGGGGAAUAUUGGACAAUGGGCGAAAGCCUGAUUCAGCCAUGCCGCGUGUGUGAAGAAGGCCCUCGGGUUGUAAAGCACUUUCAGUGGGGAAGAAGGCCUCGGGAUUAAUACUUCCGAGGAAGGACAUCACCCACAGAAGAAGCACCGGCUAACUCCGUGCCAGCAGCCGCGGUAAUACGGAGGGUGCGAGCGUUAAUCGGAAUUACUGGGCGUAAAGCGCGCGUAGGCGGUCUGAUCAGCCGGUUGUGAAAGCCCCGGGCUCAACCUGGGAACGGCAUCCGGAACUGUCAGGCUAGAGUGCAGGAGAGGAAGGUAGAAUUCCCGGUGUAGCGGUGAAAUGCGUAGAGAUCGGGAGGAAUACCAGUGGCGAAGGCGGCCUUCUGGACUGACACUGACGCUGAGGUGCGAAAGCGUGGGUAGCAAACA
RNAcentral lists this ribosomal RNA (427 nucleotides) under uncultured Halomonadaceae bacterium. RNAcentral's name for it is "bacterial SSU rRNA". It matches the Rfam family "Bacterial small subunit ribosomal RNA", at positions 355 to 774 of the family's 1533-position model. Lineage: Bacteria; Pseudomonadati; Pseudomonadota; Gammaproteobacteria; Oceanospirillales; Halomonadaceae. The record is from RNAcentral.